GACGAACGCUGGCGGCGUGCUUAACACAUGCAAGUCGAACGGAAAGGCCCUGCUUUUGUGGGGUGCUCGAGUGGCGAACGGGUGAGUAACACGUGAGUAACCUGCCCUUGACUUUGGGAUAACUUCAGGAAACUGGGGCUAAUACCUGAUAGGAGCUCCUGCUGCAUGGUGUGGGUUGGAAAGUUUCGGCGGUUGGGGAUGGACUCGCGGCUUAUCAGCUUGUUGGUGGGGUAGUGGCUUACCAAGGCUUUGACGGGUAGCCGGCCUGAGAGGGUUACCGGCCACAUUGGGACUGAGAUACGGCCCAGACUCCAACGGGAGGCAGCAGUGGGGAAUAGUGCACAAUGGGCGGAAGCCUGAUGCAGCAAAGCCGCGUGCGGGAUGACGGCCUUCGGGUUGUAAACAGCUUUCGAAUGUGACGAAGAGUGAGUGACGGUAAUGGGUAAAGAAGCACCGGCUAACUACGUG
Molecule: ribosomal RNA, 468 nt
Filed under: uncultured bacterium
Lineage: Bacteria
Description: partial 16S ribosomal RNA
Rfam family: Bacterial small subunit ribosomal RNA
Source: RNAcentral